UUCCUCUUCGACUCUGGAACGGUUGUCAUCUCUCACAGUGAACAGACUCCUGAAUGAACCUGAGAAAUGAUAUGCAUGAGGAGAUUAGCUUUUUUUCUUUUCUCUUUUCUUUUUUCAUUUCCCUUUUUUUUAUUGCAUUAUUUUUUGAAAAUAAACAUGCUAUGAUGCAAAUGAUGCAAUUAUGACUGGUUGGUUGUGUAUCACGGAGCACAGGAUCAAAACUUCGGCAUCGGAACCGGAACCCAC
This 246-nucleotide long non-coding RNA is filed under the name Lathyrus oleraceus (garden pea). RNAcentral describes it as "Pisum sativum (pea) long non-coding RNA (PSAT_LNC030944)". The record is from RNAcentral. Lineage: Eukaryota; Viridiplantae; Streptophyta; Magnoliopsida; Fabales; Fabaceae.